UAACUUCGGGAAACCGGAGCUAAUACCCCAUAAGCCCUUCGGGGAAAGUUUUUCGCCAUUAGAUGAGCCCGCGUUAGAUUAGCUAGUUGGUAGGGUAAUGGCCUACCAAGGCGACGAUCUAUAGCUGGUCUGAGAGGAUGAUCAGCCACACUGGGACUGAGACACGGCCCAGACUCCUACGGGAGGCAGCAGUGGGGAAUAUUGCACAAUGGGCGCAAGUGAUGCAGCCAUGCCGCGUGUGUGAUGAAGGCCUUAGGGUUGUAAAACACUUUCAUCGGUGAAGAUAAUGACGGUAGCCGAAGAAGAAGCCCCGGCUAACUCCGUGCCAGCAGCCGCGGUAAUACGGAGGGGGCAAGCGUUGUUCGGAAUUACUGGGCGUAAAGCGCACGUAGGCGGACUGGUCAGUUGGGGGUGAAAUCCCGAGGCUUAACCUCGGAACUGCCUUCAAUACUGCCAGUCUUGAGAUCGGAAGAGGUGAGUGGAAUUCCUAGUGUAGAGGUGAAAUUCGUAGAUAUUAGGAAGAACACCAGUGGCGAAGCGGCUCACUGGUCCGAUACUGACGCUGAGGUGCGAAAGGUGGGGAGCGAACAGGAUUAGAUACCCUGGUAGUCCACGCCGUAAACGAUGGAUGCUAGCCGGU
This 640-nucleotide ribosomal RNA is filed under the name uncultured bacterium. Its description in RNAcentral is "bacterial SSU rRNA". It matches the Rfam family "Bacterial small subunit ribosomal RNA", at positions 144 to 824 of the family's 1533-position model. The record is from RNAcentral.